AGAAUCAACGCUGGCGGCGUGCCUAACACAUGCAAGUCGAACGAGAAAAGGGAGCAAUCCCUGAGUACAGUGGCGACCGGGUGAGUAACACGUGACUAACCUACCCUCGAGUGUGGAAUAACAUCGGGAAACCGAUGCUAAUACCGCAUAACAUCGCAAGAUCAAAGGAGUAAUCCGCUUGAGGAGGGGGUCGCGGCUGAUUAGCUAGUUGGCGGGGUAAUGGCCCACAAGGCGAAGAUCGGUA
This 244-nucleotide ribosomal RNA is filed under the name uncultured bacterium. RNAcentral describes it as "partial small subunit ribosomal RNA". It matches the Rfam family "Bacterial small subunit ribosomal RNA", at positions 26 to 285 of the family's 1533-position model. The record is from RNAcentral.